GGGUAUAGCUCAGUUGGUAGAGUACUUGCCUACCAUGCACAAGGGCCUGGGUUCAAUCCCCAGCACCACA
RNAcentral lists this transfer RNA (70 nucleotides) under Marmota monax (woodchuck). Its description in RNAcentral is "tRNA.Gly". It matches the Rfam family "tRNA". From Rfam's summary of the family: Transfer RNA (tRNA) molecules are approximately 80 nucleotides in length. Their secondary structure includes four short double-helical elements and three loops (D, anti-codon, and T loops). The record is from RNAcentral. Lineage: Eukaryota; Metazoa; Chordata; Mammalia; Rodentia; Sciuridae.